CAAGUUUGUAGUGAAAAUAAUUUCCAUUGUAACUAUCAGAUGGCGCUGGUUUAAUAUCUGUGGCGCUCUCUUAUAGAAACGUAUGUUUCAGUGAUUGGCUGGUACCAGGGAGCGGUCGCUAUAUUAUUGUCGUUUACAUUUUUAAAAUGUCGCACUGAAUGUGUGAUGAUACGAUGUAUAUUCUAAAUACUGACAAACGUUCAAAGUAUAUGAAAUUCAAAUAGAAAAAUUCAUCAGACAGGAUCAUGAAACAACGACGUGGUUUUCAAACAACUAAAUGGAUGUAGUAUGGAAUUAUAUUAAUGGAGCUCAUCAAAACUAGUGACCACGUUGAGGACUCAUGCACUAUAGAAAAUAGUCUAAAGUUUGGAUAGAGUAAACAGUACUCAUGGUAUUAUAAUAGAAUUUAUACAGUAUUAUACAGUAUUUAUACAUUUGAUUGUAUAGAUAGUUUAUGAUCCAGGGACUCGAAUCGUGCCCAUCACUAUACAUCAGGCGGUGUCGUGCGCCGACUGGUACGGCCAGGUACCAAAUGCCACAAGGUCACCGCUCGUGCGCCCGCGUGCAGAGGAAGGGGUUCCCGCCAGAUGAUGAAGCGGCGGGGAAGAAGAGGGACAGAGAGAGACCUUUAUUGUGCUGGUCGACUUGCACCCGUAAGGCGCGCAGCCAAUGAACAGUGAGAUAACAGGUGAAAGAACACACACGUCGUCCCAAGAGACGGUGAAGACGCCGUUCUCGGCAGGAAUAAAUUUUUCUAAAUUGUCCACCGCUCACCAAGAAUUCAAAUGAUUCACAAACCUUCCUCUCCGCAUUGGCACGACGUGGUACGGCGUAACCGCGUGCCUUGGCUGAGUAAAAAAUGCGCAAAUUAUUCUACCUGGAAACAAACUCAACGGAGAUGAAUGCAAACAAGAUGAACUUACCUGACUCAGGAACAGGACCAUUCCAAACUUUUCUCUUUCCGCAAUCUCAGUGGAACCAAUGAAUUUGGAGCAUGUAUUAGUCCAGAAAGUUCGUGCCAAUUUUUAAGAAAACUUCAAGGCACGUUUUAAUUGUAAUAUACAUUUAUUUAUAUGUAUAUAUGUAUACAUAAA
This is a long non-coding RNA of Hylaeus anthracinus, 1094 nucleotides long. RefSeq lists it as uncharacterized. NCBI's taxonomy places the organism in Eukaryota, Metazoa, Arthropoda, Insecta, Hymenoptera, Colletidae. The record is from RefSeq and is a predicted model, not a curated record. The transcript has 3 exons.